RNAcentral lists this long non-coding RNA (748 nucleotides) under Bos taurus (domestic cattle). Its description in RNAcentral is "long non-coding RNA NONBTAT025274". Lineage: Eukaryota; Metazoa; Chordata; Mammalia; Artiodactyla; Bovidae. The record is from RNAcentral.
GGGUAAAAAAUUUUAACCUAACAGAAAAUUAACUAACUACUGCUGAUAUAUUUCAGUUUCCCCUCCAUGAAAAGGAGAAUUAAGAUGUAAUAAUUUAAGUAUAACCUUGAAUUACAGACUGUUUAUCUCUUGGAAUCUGGGUUUUGUAAAGGGUCCUAGAUAAUAAGCAGACAGCCUUGGAGGGAAUUUUGGGGGAAAUAAAGCUAUUAGCAGUCUAAUUUGUUAGUAUUUAAUUUUGAUUUUUCAGAAAAUUCCCUUCUCCAAGACAACCUUUUAUGUUAGAAUAGUAAGAAUAAUGAUAUCUCUUUAAAAACAAAGAUUUUAUGGUUAGACUAGGUAAGGUGGACAAGUAGAAACUCUGUAGUGUCGUGUCCUAGUUUGAAGUAGGAUAUUCUUAGGAGUUAUUACAGUGAUUAUCUGUCUGAGGUGAAAAUUAACCUAAGUUUUAAAGUAAAUCUAUUUGAAAUUUGCUUAAGUAUUGACUUAGGUAAGCCUUGUCUGAGUUUAUUUCUUUCUGUUUUUUUUUUCAAUAAGUGUGGCCCCUUUUUGUGUUUGAAAUAGGAGUCAGUAUUCAAUGUUAACCAUAUUUUUAUUAGUGACAUUUGUUUUGAUCAUGACAAUUUAUUAAGCUGAAUUAGACUUCUUUCAGUAGCUCGUUAGAGACAAUCUCAAGGGCUGGAAAGUGUUGCUAAAAUGGAUAUUGUACAUUUCCACAAUAAUGUACAAUAAUGAAUGACUAAUGAAAUUA